GAUGAACGCUAGCGGCAGGCUUAAUACAUGCAAGUCGUGGGGCAGCAUGAGUAGCAAUACUUGAUGGCGACCGGCAAACGGGUGAGGAACACGUACACAACCUUCCUUCAAGCGGGGAAUAGCCCAGAGAAAUUUGGAUUAAUACCCCAUAAUAUAUUUGAUAAGGCAUCUUAUUAAUAUUAAAGCUUCGGCACUUGAUGAUGGGUGUGCGGCUGAUUAGAUAGUUGGCGGGUAACGGCCCACCAAGUCUACGAUCAGUAGCUGAUGUGAGAGCAUGAUCAGCCACACGGGCACUGAGACACGGGCCCGACUCCUACGGGAGGCAGCAGUAAGGAAUAUUGGACAAUGGACGAAAGUCUGAUCCAGCCAUGCCGCGUGAAGGAUUAAGGUCCUCUGGAUUGUAAACUUCUUUAUAUGGGACGAAAAAGGGCAUUCUUGUUCACUUGACGGUACCAUAUGAAUAAGCACCGGCUAACUCCGUGCCAGCAG
This 489-nucleotide ribosomal RNA is filed under the name uncultured bacterium. RNAcentral describes it as "bacterial SSU rRNA". It matches the Rfam family "Bacterial small subunit ribosomal RNA", at positions 28 to 514 of the family's 1533-position model. The record is from RNAcentral.